CAGCCGGUACUCGCGAAUGCUCUAGAUUUAAAGUUGAUCAUGGCUCAGAUCCGAACGCUGGCGGCAGGCCUAACACAUGCAAGUCGAGCGGUAACACAGGGAGCUUGCUCCUGGUGACGAGCGGCGGACGGGUGAGUAAUGUCUGGGAAACUGCCUGAUGGAGGGGGAUAACUACUGGAAACGGUAGCUAAUACCGCAUAACGUCGCAAGACCAAAGAGGGGGACCUUCGGGCCUCUUGCCAUCGGAUGUGCCCAGAUGGAUUAGCUAGUUGGCGGGGUAAAGGCCCACCAAGGCGACGAUCCGUAGCUGGUCUGAGAGGAUGAUCAGCCACACUGGAACUGAGACACGGUCCAGACUCCUACGGGAGGCAGCAGUGGGGAAUAUUUGGACAAUGGGCGCAAGCCUGAUCCAGCCAUACCGCGUGGGUGAACGAAGGCCUUCGGGUUGUAAAGCCCUUUUGUUGGGCAAAGAACAUCCAGCCGGCUAAAUACCCUAGGGUAGGGGAUGACGGGUACCAAAAGAAUAAGCACCGGNUAAACCUCGGUGCCAGCCAGCGCCGGUAAAUAACGANAAGGGGUGGCACAAGGC
RNAcentral lists this ribosomal RNA (589 nucleotides) under uncultured bacterium. RNAcentral describes it as "bacterial SSU rRNA". It matches the Rfam family "Bacterial small subunit ribosomal RNA", at positions 1 to 544 of the family's 1533-position model. The record is from RNAcentral.